GUAGGUGGCAAGCGUUGUCCGGAAUUAUUGGGCGUAAAGCGCGCGCAGGCGGUCCUUUAAGUCUGAUGUGAAAGCCCACGGCUCAACCGUGGAGGGUCAUUGGAAACUGGGGGACUUGAGUACAGAAGAGGAAAGCGGAAUUCCAAGUGUAGCGGUGAAAUGCGUAGAGAUUUGGAGGAACACCAGUGGCGAAGGCGGCUUUCUGGUCUGUAACUGACGCUGAGGCGCGAAAGCGUGGGGAGCAAACAGGAUUAGAUACCCUGGUAGUCCACGCCGUAAACGAUGAGUGCUAAGUGUUAGGGGGUUUCCCGCCCCCCUUAGUGCUGCAGCUAACGCAUUAAGCACUCCGCCUGGGGAGUACGGCCGUAAGGCUG
This 374-nucleotide ribosomal RNA is filed under the name uncultured organism. Its description in RNAcentral is "partial 16S ribosomal RNA". It matches the Rfam family "Bacterial small subunit ribosomal RNA", at positions 527 to 896 of the family's 1533-position model. The record is from RNAcentral.